UGGGACUCAGAGAAUGUUCAAAUAUCAGGA
RNAcentral lists this non-coding RNA (30 nucleotides) under Mus musculus (house mouse). The record is from RNAcentral. Lineage: Eukaryota; Metazoa; Chordata; Mammalia; Rodentia; Muridae.